UGGGCCGUAAACGGCGUCGGCAGGACGUCUUCUUUAAGUCUUGAAUUGGAAAAGGCCCCCCGCCUCCAAACCGGGGUAGGGUUCAUUUGCAAAUUUGGGAAAACUUGAGUGCAGGAGGAGGAGAGGUGGAAUUCCCACGCGUAGCCGAUGAAAAUGCGGUAGAGAUCUGGACGAACCACCAGUGGCGAAGGGCGACUCUUUGGUCUCUAACUGACGGUGAGGAGUGAAAGCGUGGGGAGCGAACACGAUUAGAUAUCCUGGUAGUCCACGCCGUAAACGAUGAGUGCUAAGUGUUAGGGGGUUUCCGCCCCUUAGUGCUGCAGCUAACGCAUUAAGCACUUCGCCUGGGGAGUACGGUUGCAAGACUGAAAAUCAAAGGAAUUGACGGGGGCCCGCACAAGCGGUGGAGCAUGUGGUUUAAUUUGAAGCAACGCGAAGAACCUUACCAGGUCUUGACAUCCUUUGACAACCCUAGAGAUAGGGCUUUCCCUUCGGGGACAGAGUGACAGGUGGUGCAUGGUUGUCGUCAGCUCGUGUCGUGAGAUGUUGGGUUAAGUUCCGCAACGAGCGCAACCCUUGAUUUUAGUUGCCAGCAUUUAGUUGGGCACUCUAAGGUGACUGCCGGUGACAAACCGGAGGAAGGUGGGGAUGACGUCAAAUCAUCAUGCCCCUUAUGACCUGGGCUACACACGUGCUACAAUGGACAGAACAAAGGGCUGCGAGACCGCAAGGUUUAGCCAAUCCCAUAAAUCUGUUCUCAGUUCGGAUCGCAGUCUGCAACUCGACUGCGUGAAGCUGGAAUCGCUAGUAAUCGCGGAUCAGCAUGCCGCGGUGAAUACGUUCCCGGGCCUUGUACACACCGCCCGUCACACCACGAGAGUUUGUAACACCCGAAGUCGGUGAGGUAACCUUUAUGGAGCCAGCCGCCGAAGGUGGGACAGAUGAUUGGGGUGAAGUCGUAACAAGGAGCCUUGAGGCC
Molecule: ribosomal RNA, 979 nt
Filed under: Bacillus sp. (in: firmicutes)
Lineage: Bacteria; Bacillati; Bacillota; Bacilli; Caryophanales; Bacillaceae
Description: bacterial SSU rRNA
Rfam family: Bacterial small subunit ribosomal RNA
Source: RNAcentral